GUUUGCUUAAUGAGUUAUAUUCGUGUUUAAAUGAAAUUAAUGAAUAAAAUGAUGCGUAUAUGCGUUGAAGUUAUUUUGAUUUAAAUUUGAAAGUUGAGAACUAUUUUGUUAAUUUCUCUCUAAGAUUUUAUACAAUAAAGUUGUCUUGUCUCUCUCCUCCUGCGUCCACGUUAUCAGGUAGGGGAGGGCAAUCAAUGACACGUGGCAGUCCUAAAUUAAGCUUCCAAUGUUGUUUUUGCUGUGUUGUGUUGAUCGGGCCAAGUUUUGGUACGACACGUAAUAAGCAAUCUAUUAUGGGCCCACUUCUAUUCUCAAAGUCUUCGUCUUCUCGAUUUCUUCGUCUUCUCGAUUUCCCUUGCUCCCAUGGGUGUUCCUCUGCCAAACGUUACUUCUUUUAAUUGAUUCACGCCUUAAAGCGAGUACUUUAACUUCUUCCGGCCUCUAAACCCACUACGCCGAGUUCAAUGAUCCGUCUUCAACAUCGAUUUCAUUACCCCUAAUUCUUCAUACUAUAAAUAAGCCAUGAAGCCCUCUCCAUAUUGCAGUGCUUCAUCUUAUUUUUUUGAUGGUUUCCUUACAAACUUUGAUUGCAUAAAAUUAUAUGAAAUUUAUAUCCAGAAAGAAAUCGUGAGAAAAGAAUAUUUGCUUGUCGUUUUGUGUGCUUGACUGUGUUUAUAGAUCUGAAUGUGCUUAUAAGUGCGAUGCUAUGAUCUUCAGGUACCAUGGCUCCACUCUGAUAUCAGCAAGUUUUUCAGGGUGAAACGGAAGUGGAGUUCUCAACCAGAUUAGUCAAGAAUGCAGAGGAUCUUAUCAUUAAAGAGGGACCAGAAACAAUUGGUGCUUUUAUCGCUGAACCAGUCAUGGUUGCUGUUCGUGUGAUACCUCCACCUGCUACGUAAUUUGAAAAGGUCAUUUCUAUAACUUCAUUGGUACUAAGUACAUUUGGCAAUGGUUAUGCUAUUUUGUGUUACUAAGUACCAAGUAUAUUGGGCUCUUUCUGUACUGCAGGUCCAAGCUGUUGUUUGCAGUAUGAUAUCCUGCUCAUUGCUGUUGAAGUAUGUGCAUAUCUAACUGAACCAUGUUCAUUACCAUGACCCCAAAAUCGAUGGAUAACAAAAAUACAUGACUAACCAUUUGUAUUUUGUUUGGCCUUUAAGUGAAUACACCAUCAAGCCAGAUCUUCUGUCCUUAGCUAAGGCACCGUCUCCAGCACAUAUGCCGAUGGAGCCAUUCUUAUGAGUCAAAAAGUAGCAGAUGUCAUGUAUUCUCAAAGCAACAAGCUUGGUGAUUUCUCGCAUGGAUUUACUUAUUCUGCUCAUCCAUUUUCAUGUGCUAUAGCGAUUGAAGCGUUAAAGACAUACAAGAAACACUUCAUAUGGAUUACUUGAGCAGCUAAGCGUUGCGUGGUUUCUUGAGUACGCCCCCCGGCACUGUAACAUGUGGUUCCGUAACUGAGCUCUCGCCACAGUAGCUUCUGUAGAUGUCGUGAUAUCAUUCAGUGGAGGCAAAUACUGGGCCUGCACCACAGGUGGUGUUAGUGUGAGUUGUAGAUAGCUUCUCACCAUCAGAGCACAUGCAUGACACACAUGUAAAUCCAUGCAUAUCAUCUUCUGGGUUGUUGUUCCCGUCCUGUCAACACAGAUUAGACUAUGUCACACUAACUCUCUAUUAAAAAGUUUUUGUCAGCUUAGCUAGGAGUAUGGGAUGGUUUACAUGUGAGUUGAAAGUUGCAGUUGGGGGUUGGGGCACGUUGGGUGAUCAUCUUAGAAGGAUCAUUUCAACCUCCAUAAGCUCUCCCUCUUUCAUGACAUUGCGUGCCUCCAAAGACGGAGAAGCCGCGCUUCUGAGGAGAACGGCCGGCCGUCAAACCGGCAAACGUUAUUGGAGAGUAAAAUGUAAAAAUUCAAUAAUUUUGUUAUAUAGAUACUGAUUUAAAAUAAUACA
Molecule: long non-coding RNA, 1944 nt
Organism: Brassica napus (rape)
Lineage: Eukaryota; Viridiplantae; Streptophyta; Magnoliopsida; Brassicales; Brassicaceae
Exons: 6
Source: RefSeq, a predicted model, not a curated record